This 254-nucleotide ribosomal RNA is filed under the name uncultured bacterium. RNAcentral describes it as "partial 16S ribosomal RNA". It matches the Rfam family "Bacterial small subunit ribosomal RNA", at positions 524 to 776 of the family's 1533-position model. The record is from RNAcentral.
UACAGAGGGUGCGAGCGUUGUUCGGAAUUACUGGGCGUAAAGAGCUCGUAGGCGGUUUCGUAAGUCGGAUGUAAAAACUCCAGGCUCAACUUGGAGACGCCAUUCGAUACUGCGAUGACUUGAGUCCGGUAGGGGAGUGUGGAAUUCCUGGUGUAGCGGUGAAAUGCGCAGAUAUCAGGAGGAACACCGGCGGCGAAGGCGGCACUCUGGGCCGGUACUGACGCUGAGGAGCGAAAGCGUGGGUAGCAAACAGG